GACGAACGCUGGCGGCGUGCUUAACACAUGCAAGUCGAACGGAAAGGCCCUGCUUUUGUGGGGUGCUCGAGUGGCGAACGGGUGAGUAACACGUGAGUAACCUGCCCUUGACUUUGGGAUAACUUCAGGAAACUGGGGCUAAUACCGGAUAGGAGCUCCUGCUGCAUGGUGGGGGUUGGACAGUUUCGGCGGUUGGGGAUGGACUCGCGGGUUAUCAGCUUGUUGGUGGGGUAGUGGCUUACCAAGGCUUUGACGGGUAGCCGGCAUGAGAGGGUGACCGGCCACAUGGGGACUGAGAUACGGCCCAGACUCCUACGGGAGGCAGCAGUGGGGAAUAUUGCACAAUGGGCGGAAGCCUGAUGCAGCAACGCCGCGUGCGGGAUGACGGCCUUCGGGUUGUAAACCGCUGUCGCCUGUGACGAAGCGUGAGUGACGGUAAUGGGUAAAGAAGCACCGGCUAACUACGUG
Molecule: ribosomal RNA, 468 nt
Filed under: uncultured bacterium
Lineage: Bacteria
Description: partial 16S ribosomal RNA
Rfam family: Bacterial small subunit ribosomal RNA
Source: RNAcentral